GAAUUCACUAGUGAUUUCUGGUUGAUCCUGCCGGACCCGACUGCUAUCAGAGUGGGACUAAGCCAUGCGAGUCAACGUAGUAAUACGUGGCAUACGGCUCAGUAACACGUAGUCAACAUGCCCAGGGGACGUGGAUAACCUCGGGAAACUGAGGAUAAACCGCGAUAGGCCAUAAUUCCUGGAAUGGUUUAUGACUGAAACCUACAUGGCCCCUGGAUUGGACUGCGGCCGAUCAGGCUGUUGGUGAGGUAAUGGCCCACCAAACCUGUAACCGGUACGGGCUCUGAGAGGAGAAGCCCGGAGAUGGGCACUGAGACAAGGGCCCAGGCCCUAUGGGGCGCAGCAGGCGCGAAACCUCUGCAAUAGGCGAAAGCCUGACAGGGUUACUCUGAGUGGUUCCCGCUAAGGGGAUCUUUUGGCACCUCUAAAAAUGGUGCAGAAUAAGGGGUGGGCAAGCCUGGUGUCAGCCGCCGCGGUAAUACCAGCACCCCGAGUGGUCGGGACGAUUAUUGGGCCUAAAGCAUCCGUAGCCGGUCAUGCAAGUCUUCCGUUAAAUCCACCCGCUCAACGGUUGGGCUGCGGAGGAUACUACGUGGCUAGGAGGCGGGAGAGGCAAGCGGUACUCAGUGGGCAGGGGUAAAAUCCUUUGAUCAAUCGAAUUCCCGCGGCC
RNAcentral lists this ribosomal RNA (670 nucleotides) under uncultured archaeon. RNAcentral's name for it is "bacterial SSU rRNA". It matches the Rfam family "Archaeal small subunit ribosomal RNA", at positions 1 to 665 of the family's 1478-position model. The record is from RNAcentral.